RNAcentral lists this long non-coding RNA (1848 nucleotides) under Astyanax mexicanus (Mexican tetra). RNAcentral's name for it is "lncRNA (ENSAMXG00005020877.1)". Lineage: Eukaryota; Metazoa; Chordata; Actinopteri; Characiformes; Acestrorhamphidae. The record is from RNAcentral.
CUAAAUUAAUCGAUAUUGAGUUGAAUUGGGACCAUGUGAAUUGGAAUCAAAUUGAAUUGGGAAAUCGGUGGUGAUACCCACCCCUAGUAGACCUGUAGAUGUUAAGGAAAUUUCCUUUGGAAGUCUCUCAGAUUCUUGUCCUUUUGUACCUUGAGUCUAACAUAUAAUUUCCAAGAACUGCCUGUUCACUUGCUGUCUAUUCCCUUCAGUGGUUUUGGUCACUGUAUUAUAGUUAGCUCUGUUAUAGAGAGCGGGGUCGUGCAGCAGCGGUUUAUUUUAGGCCGGUCCUCUGCUGCCCUCUGCCGGCCGAAGCGCUGCACUUCCCUCCCGUUUUUUUUUACACGAGAAGUUGAGUUACACGUCAGAGCGGGAGCCUGUAACCUGUGAGCCGGACGUGUACGGUGACCUCAGCGGUUUAUGUGUAUCAGCUGACCGUCGGAGGGCGGAAAGACGAUGGAACGUGUGGCGGAGAUGCCGAGCGGAGACGGGUUCAGCAUGGCCGGACCCUCCACUGCUCCCCGGAAGCGGCAGGUGCGUUUUUCUGCUCGUCAUGAUAUCCUGCUGCUCAGGGAGGUCAUUGCUCAGAACCCCUUCACCUCUAAAGAAUCGGGGCGUAUCUGGGCUCGGGUCGGGGAGAUCAUCACUGCUGCUCUGCAGGACGAGAACUUUGAGGUGGACGGCCGCAGGUGCAGGGAGAGGACUAUGCUGCUUCUGGACUAUUAUAAAAAACAGGACUUUCCCAGUCUGCGCAGAUUCGGCACCGAGAGGCUCUACGCUCAGAAGGAGGACCUGCUCCAUGAAGUUCUGGAGCUAGAGGCUGAGAAGAACCUGAUAGCCAGUGGAGAAGGAAAAUACCAGGAUGACGAGCUGAAGAAGCGAGCGCUGGAAGAGUUAGCUCUGCCUGAGCAGGACAAACCCACCAUGAUCUCGACAGCACCAGCAACUGGUGAGGAGCCAUCAAACAUGUCUGGAGCACUGGAGCCAGACGAUCAGGAGGACCUGGCCGAGCUGGCGGCACCCACAGCUAAGCGUCCAUGCCAGUGCUGCUGCCAGACUUACUCAGAGAUCCUGAGUUUCCUGGAGAAGCGCUCCGAGGCUGAGCAGCGCCUCCGUGAGGAGGAGAUGGCGCUGCGCAGGGAGGAGCUGGAGAUCCAGAGGAGUAAAAUAGCUCUGGAGAGGGAACGACUCGGAGCUGAGAGGAAGGAGCGGGAACGGCGGUUUGAGCUGGAGAGCCAGGAAAGACAGGUCAUUCUCGAUCUGCUGAAAGAGAAGGUGCUGAAGAGCGAGAAGAACUCAGAAAGCUGACUCUUUCUGUCAGCUGGCAUCACUCUUCAUAUAGACACUGUUCUAGAUUGGUAGUACUUUAGGCUACAGCUCAGAAUGAUGAGUUGGACUACAAUGAUUUGGGCAACAACCCAAAGGAUUCACAAUGACUGGUUGUCUCAGCUCAAUCAGAGACUUAUAUUUAUACUUGUCUUAUAUUGGCAGUUAUAUGGUUUAGCAAUGGGAACUACCAGUAGUGUCAACUUGUAACAUAUUGAUCCCCAGAGCCUGUUAACAGCCUUAACAAAAGAGGUUCUGUGUAGUACUAAAAGUGUUUUUAAACUCAUAUUGAUGGUGAAACCCUUUUUUGGUGCUUAAUAGAGCCAUUUUUUUGUUUGCCACCAAUUUGAAAAUAUCUAACAUGACAAAUUGCCAUGACUUUAUAAAGAAUCAUUGAGUUUACAAAGGAACCCUUGAAAAACCCUUAUGUGUGUAUACUAGAGCUGUGCAUUGGCUAGAACUUGAGAUGGGAUACAUAUCACGAUACAGAGGUUCCAAAUAAAUAUUUUGUAAUAUUUUGCGACA